CAAAUUUUCCGUAAUCUCUAUGCUAUUAACAAAUGUUGAUAACAUCUUAACCUCUUAUGUAUUUUCACAGUUUGAGUUCGCUGAUUUUCAUUUUGGUUGUUUUUCAGGGCAACGUUCAAACACCUGUGAGAUUAAUGGUAAAAUACAUGAGGUGAGCAUGGCAUACUUACAGUGGCAUUUUACUAGAAAUUAAAUGUACACCCUUUCUACUACAAAAGCCCUUUGGAAAAUUCUUUACCCAAUCCAUGUCAGUUUAUAACCCUAACCUCUGUUCCUCAAGAAGCUUAAAACAAUAGUGCAUCAUUUUUAGCAAUGUACUUUCUAAAAAAAAAGCUUUCUUCUAUUUGUGGAAUUCUUUUUUUUUUUUUUUUUUUUCCAAAGAAGCUGAUGUAUUGUUAAAGCUCAAAUGUUGUUUGAAAUAACCCUAUGAACCUUCAAAAAUAAAGCCAAAUUUUUUGCUCAAUUGCACUUCAGAAAAGUAUGCAGCACGUCUUUCACCUUCACCUGUGUGUUAUAGAGACACUUCACAAACAGAUGUUAUUUUUUCUUUCCCAUUUUCCAGAGCGGAACAUCUGUAAUACAUUCAUGUAAAAAUUGUACCUGCACUUCUGAGAAAGAUCUAUUUACUGGGAAAAACAUUGUGAAGUGUGAAGCACUUAAAUGUGAAACAUCUUGUCCACUGGUGAGUUGAGAUUCAAUGGGAUGCCCUAUCAGCCUUCAAACAGUAGUAUUGUAGUAAGACCAGUACCGUCCAUCAUCAACUCAACAUACUUUCUCUUCCAUCUCUUGCGAGUAGGGUUACGAAUAUAAGAUUGAGGAUGGAGAGUGCUGUGGGAAGUGUAAAGAAAUAUCUUGCAGAAUUCAUCUAAAUAACGAGACUGUUGUGCUCGAAGUUGGUAAGACUCUGCCACUUGAUCUCUGCAGCCACUACAAGUGUGAAAAAAUUGAAGAUCAAUAUGUUGCAGUUCAAACUAAAAGAAUAUGUCCCGAGUACGGUCCACUGGAGUGCGAUCCCGAUGAAGCAGAGACUACUCCUGAUGGCUGCUGCAAGAUAUGUAAACCUACUAACUGCAAAGCUUACAGCACAAAAACUGUAAUCCAACACGAAGACUGUGAAUCUUCCGAAGCUGUUGAGUUGACAUAUUGUGAAGGGACUUGUCCUGGCUCCUCCAUGUAUUCUCUUAAAGCAAACCAGAUGCAACAUGACUGUACUUGCUGCCAAGAGCUCAGCAGCCACAGAAGAGAUGUGAUCCUGAAUUGCCAAAACGGAACAAGCAUAAAUUAUAGCUAUGUCUAUGUGGAACAAUGCCAGUGUAUAAAUGCAUGCAACCCACAAACUCUUGAAGCAGAUGAUUACCAAUCAAAAAUCAGCCAAAGAUGGACAUGAUCAUUGCAAAAACAACAAAAAUAGGUCCUAGGAAAGCUGGAACCGUAUCUUCCUCAAAAUAACCUGUGCUCCUUCUUUAACUGAUGUUUGUUUGUUAUUACCUUUUCUUUUUUCUUACUUAUAAAAGCCAAAGAACCCUUAAGUAUAAUAUUUUAUUUAAGUGAUACAAUUUUCAAGGUAAAAAAGAAGUAACCAUGUAAAAUAUCUUUCUGUACAUUAUGCAAAUACGUCAAUAUGUGCCAGUACAAUCACAAAACCAACAUUUUGGGAAAAGUUUUAAUGGCUCUAAAAACAAAACCAGAAAACAUUGUAGCUACAUUGCACUCAACUCUUAUAACUAGAGAAAGUUUUAUUGCAUAGCAUUUUUAUGGAUAUAAUGCUCUUAAAAGACAUCACUCAGUGACGGGGAAGAGACUGUUUUCCUGUUCAUCUUGUCUCUUAUGUGAUCAAUAAAACUUUCAGCAUUUUUCAGUUUCGGUGACUGAUCUUGUUUUCACUAUCUAAAUAAUGGGAGGUUCAAUGACAAAGAGGUGGGUUUUUUUCCUUAAAAAAAUAAAAUGAAUUUGGAGGGUUAACUGGCAAUUUGUCUAGUGAAAUCCAGAAGACAAAUGUAAAACAAGAUAGAAAAUUUUAUUCAGUGUUGCUUUACAUCCAAGACUAAAACAAAGAAAGCAGCCCUUCUGAAGCUAUAUAUAAAUGAAAGGUCCGAUCAGUUGAAGAAUACUUACGGUGAAGUCAUUUAAGUAAAUCCAAGCAACUCUCCUGUCCAUAAUUUGUAACAAUAUUUGCAAAUAAGUUCAGGAUAUGGUUUCUGAACUAUUGCCCUUGUUUCUUACGUUAUCUAGAAGUUUUUGAAUGGAUUUACUCUAGAGAGAAAUUCGGUUCCAUUUCCCCACAGCAGUUCAUUGUAUUUACCUGAACUGCUCAGAGCAGGUAUAAAAUAAAACCUGAAAUCUGAUGUGAAGGCUUAGUUGAAAAACUAGGGAGUCAUUGAUAAUUACACAUUUUAUAUGUGCUUAUUUAGAAAUGAAUCCCUGAAUGGUAUCAGUAGAACCUCUCUGUUGCCCUGCACAGACAUGACCUGAUAACAUACUGGGAUUAACCAGUAAGAAGCUUCAUGUUUUACUGUUGAAUUCCACAUCACGGCUACAGUUUGCCAGGCCAGCCAUAGGUCUGCAGAUAGGAUUGCUAGCUAAGGCAGUGGUGCACACAGCACCUCCUGCACCAUCUCUGAUCUGUUGAAUCACAUUCUUGCCAUGGGGAACAAAGGCUGAGUCAAGACAGGCUGUGCACCAGCAGUUCCAUAUAUUCACCACUCUGACCCGAACCCCAGGUAUUGCUACAGUUAGACAGCCCGUCAGCCCUGGAGAGUGUCCAGUGUAUGAAGCACUCAGCCAGCUUCAGUGCAACUUCCACAUUUCUGGCUUCCAAAGCAUUUAGCACUUUGGGCAGAGCACCACAGAACAGAGAGAGUUUUGAUCUAGCACUGUACUUGGCAAGCAGUCAGCACUCCCAGCUGCAUGAGGGCUCACUGUGUAAGAGGCACUCACAUUCACCAGCUGUUUGAGGCCUGGCAUUACAAUGCUGAGAUAGCAAUAUUAACCUGAGCUAAGCAAACUGAUGCCUGCAGAGCUGAUAGGUCACAGAGCAGGCUAAAAAAACCAGCAACACUAACAAAAUCUAAAAUGCUUUCAACAUUGCCUUUGAGUUUGUACUGAAGCCAGUGAGAUGUGUGCACUUCCUCAUUCCUUCCCAACUCCCUAAUCCCUGGACUCUUGAGCAUUUAGUGCUAUGCUCACUAACUACAAACAGUCCUUAACUUUUCCUGGGCUGGAUCUCCUGAACUAAUUUUAGUGCCAUAUUAACACAUUAGUAGUAUGUUCCAGCUCAAGCCUUAAGCUGCCCUCUACCGGUCGUUUUCUUCUCUAAAGACGACUGACACAGUACCUACCUCCUUAGUUCUGCUGUAGACAGGGAGCUUUGCAAAGCAUUGCCACCCAUCAGAGGGAAAUUUCUCUUUAUCUGAUAUUGCUAGAUCAUGCAAUAUUUCAAAUUUUGCUUGGGAUUAUGGGAAGAAUUGAGAAAUAGGGAUUUACUGUUCUUUAUUCACCAAAAUAAACUGGAGCCAUUGCUACUCAGUUUACAGCACAAUUACUUUCAUCCAAUCUUUUAAAAAUAUUUCUAGUCUCUUAGGCUAUUCCCAGUCUUCUGUCUGACUGAGCACUGUUGGUAGUUUGCAUUUUGGAAAGCACAGAGCAAGCAUACAUGAUUAGUUCAAAGUGGAAGGCAAAAGUCCUUGUAAACUCAUCCAUUUUAGUUCAGUGAUACUGAAGUGUUCUCACAGGUACAAACACUGCAUGUGCAUCACAGACACUCACUGACAACUUACAUGCUCUGUGUGCAAGUACUUCAGUUCCACAAUGCACUGACUUUUAUGGAACAUAAUCUUUGUUUUUGUGCAGUUCAGACAAUAGAAGCUGUGAAGUAGCAAGCAGUGUGUCCCACCAGCGAAAUGAGCUGUAAGAUUUUCAAGAGUUUGCUUGGAAGUCAUUAUGUUAAGACAUCAAUAAAUGACACUAACUGCAUAGUUCCACCAUAUUGUCAUCUAACAUUCCCUGACGUACAAGCCCAUUGUAGUUGGUUGCCAACAGAAGUCAGUUUUCUGUUUCCUAAUCUAGCUAAAUGCUUUUCUAUGGUAAUUUUUAGUGAAAUACCAGUAUAGCUGAUAGCAGUAAAUAUAGGAUGAAAAAUCUCCACUUUCAAAUUCAUUCAAUACCUUGUGAAAAUCACAAGAAAGAGCUCAAGAUUGGCAUUAUUUACUGCUUUGUGUUUUAAGUAUUAUUCAUCUGUAGUUCUGUAAUGAUAUCUUGCUACUAAGAUAUAUGUUUAGUUAUUUCCAGAUACAUUAAGUCAUGCACACAUUUUAUCAUUCCAAGUUCUGAGUUUGGUGUAGUACAUAACUGCACAUAUUUUAACAAAAAUGGUUACUUCCUGAGCAUCAAACAAAUGCAUGUCUGCAUGUUUUCCUAUAUAGUUACUUCUGCUUUACUUAGACAUUCCCUGGACUUGCAGUAGCAGUACAGCAUUUGUUCCAUGAAGUCUCCAUAUGUGUCUCCUGAACUCUACUUACCUGAAGUGCAAGUCCCCUGGAUUUGCUUCUGCUCAGGACUUCAGAGAAUAAAGGUACAAGAAUUGAUUUCCCUUUAAAAACAAAGACAUACACCAAACAUCCCUUCCCUCACCACAUUUCACUGCCAUUUUUCAUCUUUCCUCUUCUUUUGAAGCAGACUCUCAAAGCAGUGAUUUAAGGAAAUAUUUUGUUGCUUUUUAACUUACAAGUUCCAUCCACCUGCCUUGCUUACUGAUAAUUGGUAGCACAUCCAUGCUUAUAGUACAAUACCACUGCAUGUAAGGAGUUUGCUGUAUUCCUUCAAGUCCCCUACUUGUCUCCCAGUGGCGUACAGAGUUCCUGCAUUGUUAAUUUUACCUCUACACAGAACACACGUGCUGAUUCUAUUCUCAAAGAGGCAGUACAAGUUAUACCAGAACAUUGCUACUGAUACAUUUACUUUCAUAUUUCUUGUUCUCACACUUUCUUUUCUCAAGCCUCAAGGUUAUAUUGCCAACAGGAAGAUAAGCCAUUAAUUUGACUUACUGGUCUCCAAAUAUUGCCCCAGUAGCUUACAGAAAUAGGCUUACUGUAGUUCUGUGAAAUAGGAGGUAUGUGCAAAAGUUCUUGCCAGAUGUAUGAGCAUCAUUCAGAGCUGUGAUAGUUUUGUGAUCUUGGGAUUUAAAAGGACAUAGGCUUGGCUCAGACUAUGCAAAACCAGAAGGAAUUAACAAAACACAGCAUCCUGACCAUCUUUACAUAACAGAUUAUAUAAUUUCAUCCAUUAUUUUUGUAAAAAAAAAAGUCAUAGCUUCAAGUCUUAAAAAUAUUAUGAACCUUGAAUCAAUUUUCACUUAUUCCUUUCCUGCGGACUGCCUUUUCCCCAUACAGAGAAAUCUGAGAUUUAUUUUUUUCCAUAAGCUUCCUUGCCUCUCUUCAACCCCCUCCCAACUUACAUUAUCAGCAUAGAAACAUCUUUAUUUAAAACAUACAAGCAACUAUUAAAAACAGCAAAUACUGCAUUCUAACAUUUAGCAAAUCACAGCAGAUUUGUGGCCUCUUACACACAGUCACAACAGUCUUUAUGGUUACAUUAUUUGCCAACAGCUGACAACACCACCACAUUGAAGUAAUUAAGCUCUCCCAGCUGCUUUCACUUUAAUUUCCUCCACUGAAGAUUGUGGAGAUGGAUCACCUUCAAUACAGAAUCCUGCAGAGUAGCUCAAUGGCCUGAGCCCUUUUCAAGGUAUUUUACCGCUUCCACAGUGUUUAAGUAAGACACAGAUCAUGUUAUAUCCUUCCAAAACACUCAUUGUGAAGGCAGAGCCCUGGACCAAGAUUCAGUAUCACAUGGAUGUAAGCCCUAAGGUGUGCCAGGAAGCAUUUAGCUGCUUCUUGCAGCUUAUGUUCUGUUAACUACCAAUCAAUGAAUUCAGCUGAUGAACAAAAGACACCUGAAAACACAACAACCCACAGCCUCUCAUGCUACAAUACUGAUCAUGUGAGGACCUAAACCACCUCAGUGAAAACAUUCCUGCUGAUAUCAGAGCUGAUACCAUUCCCAGCUACCUGAGCUUUUAGUUUCAAACACUUCCAAGCAGAGAUGAUCUGCUUGAUCCUCUAUGAAGUAUCUUCAGGACUCUCAGGUUACCACAACCUUGAAACUAAGCUUAAAUUGUUGCCAGUUUACUUACAAGUGAAUAAAAUCAGUGGUAACAGAGCUUGUUAAUGUGCUAAUUCACACUUUGUUGAAAAUGCAAUAAAAACUGUUUUAUAAAAACUCCUUUUUCUGAGCUGAUUCUAAAGAAAUGCUACAACAUGAAGCUGAUUAGUAAUAAAUUACUUAUUUUAAGGGGAUGGAAACAUGACAGUGCCAAAUAACUGAAGCCAAUCUAGAAAGAAAUGGACAGCGAACAUGUGGAAGGUAACAGUAUUGUGAGUGGAAGGGGACACUGAACUUGGAACUGGAAAUAACUUCAAAACAUUCCUCAUUCACUUACAAUGUCAAAUGCAGUGAAAUUAAAGAUGUUGUUCACAGUCUGCUUCAUACUCCAGAUCAGUACACUGAAUCUUUUUAAAGAUCUGUUCUAAAUGAACUCUUCAAAUUGUCCAGUGCAGUGUUUUCAUAGUUCUCCCCCAUGUGGAUGUAGCAAAGAUUGAAAUCCAUCUGCUUGCUUCCACUCUUUCACCUUCCUAAUUUAUAUGCAGCUUUUACUUUGAAUGUUAUGAUACGUAAUUACAGUUUUUCCUUACGAAAGGAAUUCCAUGAAUUGGCAAGAUGCUUCUAGUGUAUACAAAGUAUAGUAUGAAAACAGAUCAACCUGAGUUUCUGAGCAAGCUUGCAAAAGAUCUAAGAAAGUUGAAAUCUGCACAACUUAAAAGUGCAACAGAGAAUAUUGCAACUGUGGCUUCUCAUUUCCCCUCCUUAAAGAAAAUUUCUAUUUCUUCCUUGAGGCUCUGUUUUCACUGAUGUAGUUAGAUGUUUUAAUCAUUCAAAAUACUCCAACUUCUCAUUAAAUUCCCAAAUACCAUCACUGGGUAAUCAGCAUUGAAACGCAAGCACUAAUAAGCAAUGAAAUGCUAAGCAGAUGCUUCAGCCAUUACAUGAAAGCCAACAUUUGUUUAUGUAAAUUAAUUCUCACUUGCUCUCUGUAACAUGAUGGAAAGCACAGCAACAAUAACAGAGUAGCAGAAUCCUAGGCUGCAACAAGCAAGGCACAGAAACAAAGGAAAGAAGCUGCUUACUUUCAGAAGGCUUCAGGUAUACAGAGAACACCAGAGAGAUCCCCUUCCUCCACUGCCAACCUUUAGAUGAGGUCUGGGAAGGGGCAGA
Molecule: non-coding RNA, 7329 nt
Organism: Phasianus colchicus (ring-necked pheasant)
Lineage: Eukaryota; Metazoa; Chordata; Aves; Galliformes; Phasianidae
Source: RefSeq, a predicted model, not a curated record